GACGGAGGGUGCUAGCGUUGUUCGGAAUCACUGGGCGUAAAGGGCGCGUAGGCGGCGUCGCAAGUCGGCUGUGAAAGCCCGGGGCUCAACCCCGGAGGUGCAGCCGAGACUGCGGUGCUGGAGGCCGGAAGAGGAGGGUGGAAUACCCAGUGUAGAGGUGAAAUUCGUAGAUAUUGGGUGGAACACCGGUGGCGAAAGCGGCUCUCUGGUCCGGACCUGACGCUGAGGCGCGAAAGCGUGGGGAGCAAACAGG
This 253-nucleotide ribosomal RNA is filed under the name uncultured bacterium. Its description in RNAcentral is "partial 16S ribosomal RNA". It matches the Rfam family "Bacterial small subunit ribosomal RNA", at positions 524 to 776 of the family's 1533-position model. The record is from RNAcentral.